GACGAACCGUCCAAACGUUAUUCGGUAUCACUGGGCUUAAAGGGUGCGUAGGCGGCCGAGUAAGUUGGGUGUGAAAGCCCUCGGCUCAGCCGAGGAAUUGCGCCCAAAACUGCUCGGCUCGAGGGAGAUAGAGGUGAGCGGAACUUAGGGUGGAGCGGUGAAAUGCGUUGAUAUCCUAAGGAACACCGGAGGCGAAGGCGGCUCACUGGGUCUUUCCUGACGCUGAGGCACGAAAGCUAGGGGAGCGAACGGG
This 253-nucleotide ribosomal RNA is filed under the name uncultured bacterium. RNAcentral describes it as "partial 16S ribosomal RNA". It matches the Rfam family "Bacterial small subunit ribosomal RNA", at positions 524 to 776 of the family's 1533-position model. The record is from RNAcentral.